UGGGGAAUUUUGGACAAUGGGCGAAAGCCUGAUCCAGCAAUGCCGCGUGCAGGAUGAAGGCCUUCGGGUUGUAAACUGCUUUUGUACGGAACGAAAAAGCUUCUCCUAAUACGAGAGGCCCAUGACGGUACCGUAAGAAUAAGCACCGGCUAACUACGUGCCAGCAGCCGCGGUAAUACGUAGGGUGCGAGCGUUAAUCGGAAUUACUGGGCGUAAAGCGUGCGCAGGCGGUUAUGUAAGACAGAUGUGAAAUCCCCGGGCUCAACCUGGGAACUGCAUUUGUGACUGCAUGGCUAGAGUACGGUAGAGGGGGAUGGAAUUCCGCGUGUAGCAGUGAAAUGCGUAGAUAUGCGGAGGAACACCGAUGGCGAAGGCAAUCCCCUGGACCUGUACUGACGCUCAUGCACGAAAGCGUGGGGAGCAAACAGGAUUAGAUACCCUGGUAGUCCACGCCCUAAACGAUGUCAACUGGUUGUUGGGAAUUAGUUUUCUCAGUAACGAAGCUAACGCGUGAAGUUGACCGCCUGGGGAGUACGGCCGCAAGGUUGAAACUCAAAUGAAUUGACGGGGGUCAUAGCUGUUUCCU
This 586-nucleotide ribosomal RNA is filed under the name uncultured bacterium. Its description in RNAcentral is "partial 16S ribosomal RNA". It matches the Rfam family "Bacterial small subunit ribosomal RNA", at positions 355 to 938 of the family's 1533-position model. The record is from RNAcentral.